GCAAGCAUGGUGUAGUGGCCUAAAUGUCAGACUAUGACUCUGGAAACCAGGGUUUGAAUCCCUGCUCAGCCA
Molecule: non-coding RNA, 72 nt
Organism: Phrynosoma platyrhinos (Desert horned lizard)
Lineage: Eukaryota; Metazoa; Chordata; Lepidosauria; Squamata; Phrynosomatidae
Source: the annotation of a GenBank genome assembly